Colossoma macropomum (tambaqui) is the source of this 388-nucleotide long non-coding RNA. RefSeq lists it as uncharacterized. The record is from RefSeq and is a predicted model, not a curated record. The transcript is spliced from 4 exons. NCBI's taxonomy places the organism in Eukaryota, Metazoa, Chordata, Actinopteri, Characiformes, Serrasalmidae.
GGGGUUCAGCAUCGAGUACCGGAGCCCCGCGACGAAACGCUCGAAAGUCAGACAGCCGUGAGGAGGACUCACCCGCCUCAAGCACUCCAGCACACCACCAGAAUUCGAUUGGGAACCCAUCAGGACCUGGAGAUUUACUGCUCUGCGUCAUAGAAAUUGCAUGUCUGACUUCUUUUAUCUGAAAAGGGUGUAUCCUGCCUUCUGCCCAAUGACCACUGAGAUAGGCUCCAGCACCACCUCCCAACCCCGCCCCAGCGACUCAGAAGGAUAAGCGGUUUAGAAAAUGAUGCUGAGUUGGGAUGCAAGUGAAGACACACUACAUGUCCAGAAGUAUCAUACCAACCGAUUAUGAAGCUUCCUGUUCCUUUCAUAAAUGCUCGAGACUGGC